GAACGCACCUUGCGCCCUUUGGCUAUUCCGAAGGGCAUGCCUGUUUGAGUAUCAUGAACACCUCAACUCUCAUGGUUUGCCGUGAUGAGCUUGGACUUUGGGGGUCUUGCUGGCCUAUGGUCAGCUCCUCUCAAAUGGAUCAGCUUACCAGUAUUUGGUGGCGUCACAGGUGUGAUAACUAUCUACGCUUGUGGUUGUCUGCCGAGUAACCUUUGGUGACAGAGGUUUGCUGGAGCUUAUAAAUGUCUUUCCUCAGUGAAGACAGCUUUUUGACCGUUCGAUCUCAAAUCAGGUAGGACUACCCGCUGAACUUAAG
RNAcentral lists this unclassified non-coding RNA (316 nucleotides) under uncultured Thelephorales. Its description in RNAcentral is "sequence contains 5.8S rRNA gene". Lineage: Eukaryota; Fungi; Basidiomycota; Agaricomycetes; Thelephorales. The record is from RNAcentral.